AGAGUUCGAUCCUGGCUCAGGAUGAACGCUGGCGGCGCGCCUAACACAUGCAAGUCGAACGGCACCCACCUUCGGGUGGAAGCGAGUGGCGAACGGCUGAGUAACACGUGGAGAACCUGCCCCCUCCCCCGGGAUAGCCGCCCGAAAGGACGGGUAAUACCGGAUACCCCGGGGUGCCGCAUGGCACCCCGGCUAAAGCCCCGACGGGAGGGGAUGGCUCCGCGGCCCAUCAGGUAGACGGCGGGGUGACGGCCCACCGUGCCGACAACGGGUAGCCGGGUUGAGAGACCGACCGGCCAGAUUGGGACUGAGACACGGCCCAGACUCCUACGGGAGGCAGCAGUGGGGAAUCUUGCGCAAUGGGGGGAACCCUGACGCAGCGACGCCGCGUGCGGGACGGAGGCCUUCGGGUCGUAAACCGCUUUCAGCAGGGAAGAGUCAAGACUGUACCUGCAGAAGAAGCCCCGGCUAACUACGUGCCAGCAGCCGCGGUAAUACGUAGGGGGCGAGCGUUAUCCGGAUUCAUUGGGCGUAAAGCGCGCGUAGGCGGCCCGGCAGGCCGGGGGUCGAAGCGGGGGGCUCAACCCCCCGAAGCCCCCGGAACCUCCGCGGCUUGGGUCCGGUAGGGGAGGGUGGAACACCCGGUGUAGCGGUGGAAUGCGCAGAUAUCGGGUGGAACACCGGUGGCGAAGGCGGCCCUCUGGGCCGAGACCGACGCUGAGGCGCGAAAGCUGGGGGAGCGAACAGGAUUAGAUACCCUGGUAGUCCCAGCCGUAAACGAUGGACGCUAGGUGUGGGGGGACGAUCCCCCCGUGCCGCAGCCAACGCAUUAAGCGUCCCGCCUGGGGAGUACGGCCGCAAGGCUAAAAC
Molecule: ribosomal RNA, 870 nt
Filed under: human gut metagenome
Description: bacterial SSU rRNA
Rfam family: Bacterial small subunit ribosomal RNA
Source: RNAcentral